CCUACGGGGGGCUGCAGUGGGGAAUAUUGGACAAUGGGGGCAACCCUGAUCCAGCCAUGCCGCGUGUGUGAAGAAGGCCCUCGGGUUGUAAAGCACUUUCAGUGAGGAAGAACGCCUGGUGGUUAAUACCCAUCAGGAAAGACAUCACUCACAGAAGACGCACCGGCUAACUCCGUGCCAGCAGCCGCGGUAAUACGGAGGGUGCGAGCGUUAAUCGGAAUUACUGGGCGUAAAGCGCGCGUAGGUGGCUUGAUAAGCCGGUUGUGAAAGCCCCGGGCUCAACCUGGGAACGGCAUCCGGAACUGUCAAGCUAGAGUGCAGGAGAGGAAGGUAGAAUUCCAGGUGUAGCGGUGAAAUGCGUAGAGAUCGGGAGGAAUACCAGUGGCGAAGGCGGCCUUCUGGACUGACACUGACACUGAGGUGCGAAAGCGUGGGUAGCAAACAGGAUUAGAUACCCGAGUAGUC
Molecule: ribosomal RNA, 465 nt
Filed under: Vreelandella stevensii
Lineage: Bacteria; Pseudomonadati; Pseudomonadota; Gammaproteobacteria; Oceanospirillales; Halomonadaceae
Description: partial 16S ribosomal RNA
Rfam family: Bacterial small subunit ribosomal RNA
Source: RNAcentral